This 465-nucleotide ribosomal RNA is filed under the name uncultured bacterium. RNAcentral's name for it is "partial 16S ribosomal RNA". It matches the Rfam family "Bacterial small subunit ribosomal RNA", at positions 338 to 795 of the family's 1533-position model. The record is from RNAcentral.
CCUACGGGUGGCAGCAGUGGGGAAUAUUGCGCAAUGGGCGAAAGCCUGACGCAGCGACGCCGCGUGAGGGAUGAUGGUUUUCGGAUCGUAAACCUCUGUCAGCAGGGAAGAAAGGUCACUGUGCUAAUCAGCAGUGAAUUGACGGUACCUGCACAGGAAGCACCGGCUAACUCCGUGCCAGCACCCGAGGUAAUACGGAGGGGGCGAGCGUUAACCGGAAUUACUGGGCGGAAGGGGCUCGUAGGCGGUAUGUCAAGCCAAGGGGGAAAUCCCCGGGCUCAACGUGGGAACUGCCUUUGAAACUGGCAAACUGGAGUGUAGGAGAGGAUAGUGGAAUUCCAGGUGUAGGAGUGAAAUCCGUAGAUAUCAGGAGGAACACCAGUGGCGAAGGCGACUAUCUGGCACAUAACUGACGCUGAGGAGCGAAAGCGUGGGUAGCAAACAGGAUUAGAUACCCGUGUAGUC